AUACCUUUCUCGGCCUUUUGGCUAAGAUUAAGUGUAGUAUCUGUUCUUAUCAGUUUAAUAUCUGAUACGUGGGUCAAUGACUCACACGAUAUUAAAUUAAUUUUUUUAGGAGGAGAGUUCAUCACAGUAGCUUGCUAUUGGGGCUCCCGAGUGUCGCCCAAGUGUUGCACUACUGCUCGGGCUGGCGCACCCCAC
RNAcentral lists this small nuclear RNA (195 nucleotides) under Malus domestica (apple). RNAcentral's name for it is "sRNA MD11G0203700". It matches the Rfam family "U2 spliceosomal RNA". From Rfam's summary of the family: U2 is a small nuclear RNA (snRNA) component of the spliceosome (involved in pre-mRNA splicing). Complementary binding between U2 snRNA (in an area lying towards the 5' end but 3' to hairpin I) and the branchpoint sequence (BPS) of the intron results the bulging out of an unpaired adenosine, on the BPS, which initiates a nucleophilic attack at the intronic 5' splice site, thus starting the first of two transesterification reactions that mediate splicing. Lineage: Eukaryota; Viridiplantae; Streptophyta; Magnoliopsida; Rosales; Rosaceae. The record is from RNAcentral.